AGAGACAGAGGGACGGAGACCGAGGCACCGAGAAGUAGUUCAGGAAGAGAGAGAGGAGAUUCAGAGACUUAAAAGGAGAAAAAGAACAGGAGGCGGCCAUUCCCAGAGACCGAUAAACAGACGGACCCAAGGAGGUGGAGGAUAGAGCCCUCUUCCCAGUCUGGCAGGAGUCUCCCCUCACUUUGAAUGGGGCCAAAGAGGUCCAGCCCACUAGGCCUCUGGGGAUGGGUGUCCCUGCGCUACUGGAGAAUCUCCCCAAGGGCUCAGCUGGGAAACACCUGUCCUUCAACAAGAGGAUUUACUGCAAACUUCAAGUCUGGCUUGUUAGAAAGUAGAAGACUGUCUACUUCCCAGGUAUGGAGCCCAGGCCCCUGAGGCAGGAAGAUGAGAAGGCCGAGGCACUGAAAGCUGGGAAGGGACACAGACUGGACUCAAAUGCUGUUUUUCUGACUCCAUUCAUUACGAGCUGAUUUCUCAACACCAAACUCGGUAGCUGUGGCCCUCGCUUUGCAGGAGUAUCUUGCAUGUGUCUAGUGACUCCCUUGGAAGGCAGUGUCCCUGAAGGCAGAGUGAAGAUGACGAAAGAUUUGGCUUCACCCUCCGGGAGCCCCCAAGCUGACUUUCUGGGUCUGGACAGGCCUCCAGCGUGCACACCAGUGUGGAAGGUCAGCCACGCUCCUGCAGGACAAACGACACAUGGGAGGGAGUGGGUGACCGCAAGGCAUUAGUUAAGGACGGCCUUUUAUGAAGGAAAAACCUUGAAGGUCUCUCUCUGAAGACCCCAAAGGUGAGCCUUGGCUGCACUACUUAAGCUCCCAGAAUCUGGCUCGUUAAUCUGUAAAGGGAUAGAAAGCACUCUGGUUUCCAGCACCGUC
Herpailurus yagouaroundi (jaguarundi) is the source of this 875-nucleotide long non-coding RNA. RefSeq lists it as uncharacterized. The transcript has 3 exons. The record is from RefSeq and is a predicted model, not a curated record. NCBI's taxonomy places the organism in Eukaryota, Metazoa, Chordata, Mammalia, Carnivora, Felidae.